GAUGAACGCUGGCGGCGUGCCUAAUACAUGCAAGUCGAGCGAACGGACGAGAAGCUUUCUUCUCUGAUGUUAGCGGCGGACGGGUGAGUAACACGUGGAUAACCUACCUAUAAGACUGGGAUAACUUCGGGAAACCGUAGCUAAUACCGGAUAAUAUUUUGAACCGCAUGGUUCAAAAGUGAAAGACGGUCUUGCUGUCACUUAUAGAUGGAUCCGCGCUGCAUUAGCUAGUUGGUAAGGUAACGGCUUACCAAGGCAACGAUGCAUAGCCGACCUGAGAGGGUGAUCGGCCACACUGGAACUGAGACACGGUCCAGACUCCUACGGGAGGCAGAAGUAGGGAAUCUUCCGCAAUGGGCGAAAGCCUGACGGAGCAACGCCGCGUGAGUGAUGAAGGUCUUCGGAUCGUAAAACUCUGUUAUUAGGGAAGAACAUAUGUGUAAGUAACUGUGCACAUAUUGACGGUACCUAAUCAGAAAGCCACGGCUAACUACGUG
Molecule: ribosomal RNA, 497 nt
Filed under: uncultured bacterium
Lineage: Bacteria
Description: partial 16S ribosomal RNA
Rfam family: Bacterial small subunit ribosomal RNA
Source: RNAcentral